This 49-nucleotide ribosomal RNA is filed under the name Robinia pseudoacacia. RNAcentral's name for it is "partial 18S ribosomal RNA". Lineage: Eukaryota; Viridiplantae; Streptophyta; Magnoliopsida; Fabales; Fabaceae. The record is from RNAcentral.
GGGAGAAAUCGUACAAGUUUCCGUAGGUGACCUGCGGAAGGAUCAUUGU